UACGUAGGGCGCAAGCGUUGUCCGGAAUUAUUGGGCGUAAAGAGCUCGCAGGCGGUCUGUCGCGUCGGAUGUGAAAGCCCGGGGCUUAACCCCGGGUCUGCAUUCGAUACGGGCAGACUAGAGUGUGGUAGGGGAGACUGGAAUUCCUGGUGUAGCGGUGAAAUGCGCAGAUAUCAGGAGGAACACCGGUGGCGAAGGCGGGUCUCUGGGCCGAUACUGACGCUGAGGAGCGAAAGCUAGGGUAGCAAACGGG
RNAcentral lists this ribosomal RNA (253 nucleotides) under uncultured bacterium. RNAcentral describes it as "partial 16S ribosomal RNA". It matches the Rfam family "Bacterial small subunit ribosomal RNA", at positions 524 to 776 of the family's 1533-position model. The record is from RNAcentral.